RNAcentral lists this long non-coding RNA (570 nucleotides) under Pan troglodytes (chimpanzee). Its description in RNAcentral is "lincRNA". The record is from RNAcentral. Lineage: Eukaryota; Metazoa; Chordata; Mammalia; Primates; Hominidae.
AACGCUACAGUGAAAACUAUCUCACGCCUACCAGGUCUGCCAAAUCCAGCUUGGGCAAGGGUGUCACCGGCCCCCUCUUAUGCUGGUGGGGGAGGGCAAUUUGGUACCACCCCUUUAGGGGCCCUCGCACUUCUGCACCAAGGAAUUUAACCUAAGAAAAUAGGCCGGCUUGGGCAAAAAACGUUGCUUUGCACCGGAGGCAAUGAAGACACGGCGGAGUCCCAGCUCGCAGGGAGCUCAGGUUCUGACGGCUUCAGAGGACAACACGCUCUGGACCAGCGCAGCGCCCAAGGGUCAGCGGCAGCAGCGAGCAGGGGGCACGGGAUGCGGGGAGGCUCUUCGGGAGGCAUGAAAGGCAGACGUGUUCCGAAACGUGAGCCGCGCUGGGGGGCACGACGCACGACCGGGGACAGAAGGAAGACACUGCGGUCGCAAAGCCCUGGCCGUGCAAAGGCCCCGUGGUCAGCCAGGAGCCCAGGCGUCCCCUGCUCUAGCGAGGUUUCCUUCCGAACGUCCCGUAGCACCGCUUACCACGGAACGGCGGGAGCUGCCUCGCAGCCCCGACCCCGC